RNAcentral lists this ribosomal RNA (497 nucleotides) under uncultured bacterium. Its description in RNAcentral is "partial 16S ribosomal RNA". It matches the Rfam family "Bacterial small subunit ribosomal RNA", at positions 28 to 507 of the family's 1533-position model. The record is from RNAcentral.
GAUGAACGCUGGCGGCGUGCCUAAUACAUGCCAGUCGAGCGAACGGACGAGAAGCUUGCUUCUCUGAUGUUAGCGGCGGACGUGUGAGUAACACGUGGAUAACCUACCUAUAAGACUGGGAUAACUUCGGGAAACCGGAGCUAAUACCGGAUAAUAUUUUGAACCGCAUGGUUCAAAAGUGAAAGACGGUCUUGCUGUCACUUAUAGAUGGAUCCGCGCUGCAUUAGCUAGUUGGUAAGGUAACGGCUUACCAAGGCAACGAUGCAUAGCCGACCUGAGAGGGUGAUCGGCAACACUGCAACUGGGACACGGUGCAGACUCCUACGGGAGGCAGCAGUAGGGAAUCUUCCGCAAUGGGCGAAAGCCUGACGGAGCAACGCCGCGUGAGUGAUGAAGGUCUUCGGAUCGUAAAACUCUGUUAUUAGGGAAGAACAUAUGUGUAAGUAACUGUGCACAUCUUGACGGUACCUAAUCAGAAAGCCCCGGCUAACUACGUG